This 1360-nucleotide ribosomal RNA is filed under the name uncultured bacterium. Its description in RNAcentral is "bacterial SSU rRNA". It matches the Rfam family "Bacterial small subunit ribosomal RNA", at positions 28 to 1381 of the family's 1533-position model. The record is from RNAcentral.
AAUGAACGCCCGCUCAAGGCCUCACACACGCAAGUUCGAGGGGCAGUACGGUCUUAGCUUGCUAAGGCCGAAGGCGACCGGCGCACGGGUGAGUAACACGUAUCCAACCUGCCGUCUACUCUUGGACAGCCUUCUGAAAGGAAGAUUAAUACAAGAUGGCAUCAUGAGUCCGCAUGUUCACAUGAUUAAAGGUAUUCCGGUAGACGAUGGGGAUGCGUUCCAUUAGAUAGUAGGCGGGGUAACGGCCCACCUAGUCUUCGAUGGAUAGGGGUUCUGAGAGGAAGGUCCCCCACAUUGGAACUGAGACACGGUCCAAACUCCUACGGGAGGCAGCAGUGAGGAAUAUUGGUCAAUGGGCGAGAGCCUGAACCAGCCAAGUAGCGUGAAGGAUGACUGCCCUAUGGGUUGUAAACUUCUUUUAUAAAGGAAUAAAGUCGGGUAUGGAUACCCGUUUGCAUGUACUUUAUGAAUAAGGAUCGGCUAACUCCGUGCCAGCAGCCGCGGUAAUACGGGAGGAUCCGAGCGUUAUCCGGAUUUAUUGGGUUUAAAGGGAGCGUAGAUGGAUGUUUAAGUCAGUUGUGAAAGUUUGCGGCUCAACCGUAAAAUUGCAGUUGAUACUGGAUAUCUUGAGUGCAGUUGAGGCAGGCGGAAUUCGUGGUGUAGCGGUGAAAUGCUUAGAUAUCACGAAGAACUCCGAUUGCGAAGGCAGCCUGCUAAGCUGCAACUGACAUUGAGGCUCGAAAGUGUGGGUAUCAAACAGGAUUAGAUACCCUGGUAGUCCACACGGUAAACGAUGAAUACUCGCUGUUUGCGAUAUACUGCAAGCGGCCAAGCGAAAGCGUUAAGUAUUCCACCUGGGGAGUACGCCGGCAACGGUGAAACUCAAAGGAAUUGACGGGGGCCCGCACAAGCGGAGGAACAUGUGGUUUAAUUCGAUGAUACGCGAGGAACCUUACCCGGGCUUAAAUUGCAGAUGAAUUACGGUGAAAGCCGUAAGCCGCAAGGCAUCUGUGAAGGUGCUGCAUGGUUGUCGUCAGCUCGUGCCGUGAGGUGUCGGCUUAAGUGCCAUAACGAGCGCAACCCUUGUUGUCAGUUACUAACAGGUUCCGCUGAGGACUCUGACAAGACUGCCAUCGUAAGAUGUGAGGAAGGUGGGGAUGACGUCAAAUCAGCACGGCCCUUACGUCCGGGGCUACACACGUGUUACAAUGGGGGGUACAGAGGGCCGCUACCACGCGAGUGGAUGCCAAUCCCCAAAACCUCUCUCAGUUCGGACUGGAGUCUGCAACCCGACUCCACGAAGCUGGAUUCACUAGUAAUCGCGCAUCAGCCACGGCGCGGUGAAUACGUUCCCGGGCCU